GAUGAACGCUGGCGGCGUGCCUAAUACAUGCAAGUCGAGCGAACAGACGAGGAGCUUGCUCCUCUGACGUUAGCGGCGGACGGGUGAGUAACACGUGGAUAACCUACCUAUAAGACUGGGAUAACUUCGGGAAACCGGAGCUAAUACCGGAUAAUAUAUUGAACCGCAUGGUUCAAUAGUGAAAGACGGUUUUGCUGUCACUUAUCGAUGGAUCCGCGCCGCAUUAGCUAGUUGGUAAGGUAACGGCUUACCAAGGCAACGAUGCGUAGCCGACCUGAGGGGGUGGUAGGCCACACUAGAACUGAGACAGGGUCCAGACUCCUACGGGAGGCACCAGUAGGGAAUCUUCCGCAAUGGGCGAAAGCCUGACGGAGCAACGCCGCGUGAGUGAUGAAGGUCUUCGGAUCGUAAAACUCUGUUAUUAGGGAAGAACAAAUGUGUAAGUAACUAUGCACGUCUUGACGGUACCUAAUCAGAAAGCCACGGCUAACUACGUG
Molecule: ribosomal RNA, 497 nt
Filed under: uncultured bacterium
Lineage: Bacteria
Description: partial 16S ribosomal RNA
Rfam family: Bacterial small subunit ribosomal RNA
Source: RNAcentral